This 253-nucleotide ribosomal RNA is filed under the name uncultured bacterium. RNAcentral's name for it is "partial 16S ribosomal RNA". It matches the Rfam family "Bacterial small subunit ribosomal RNA", at positions 524 to 776 of the family's 1533-position model. The record is from RNAcentral.
UACGAAGGGGGCUAGCGUUGUUCGGAAUUACUGGGCGUAAAGGGCGCGUAGGCGGCCUUCUAAGUCAGACGUGAAAUCCCCCGGCUUAACCUGGGAACUGCGUCUGAUACUGGGAGGCUUGAGUAUGGGAGAGGGAUGUAGAAUUCCAGGUGUAGCGGUGAAAUGCGUAGAUAUCUGGAGGAAUACCGGUGGCGAAGGCGGCCUCCUGGACCAUAACUGACGCUGAGGCGCGAAAGCUAGGGGAGCAAACGGG